GAUGAACGCUGGCGGCGUGCCUAAUACAUGCAAGUCGAGCGAACAGACGAGGAGCUUGCUCCUCUGACGUUAGCGGCGGACGGGUGAGUAACACGUGGAUAACCUACCUAUAAGACUGGGAUAACUUCGGGAAACCGGAGCUAAUACCGGAUAAUAUAUUGAACCGCAUGGUUCAAUAGUGAAAGACGGUUUUGCUGUCACUUAUAGAUGGAUCCGCGCCGCAUUAGCUAGUUGGUAAGGUAACGGCUUACCAAGGCAACGAUGCGUAGCCGACCUGAGAGGGUGAUCGGCCACACUGGAACUGAGACACGGUCCAGACUCCUACGGGAGGCAGCAGUAGGGACUCUUCCGCAAUGGGCGAAAGCCUGACGGAGCAACGCCGCGUGAGUGAUGAAGGUCUUCGGAUCGUAAAACUCUGUUAUUAGGGAAGAACAAAUGUGUAAGUAACUAUGAACGUCUUGACGUUACCUAAUCAGAAAGCCACGGCUAACUACGUG
Molecule: ribosomal RNA, 497 nt
Filed under: uncultured bacterium
Lineage: Bacteria
Description: partial 16S ribosomal RNA
Rfam family: Bacterial small subunit ribosomal RNA
Source: RNAcentral